CAAGCAAAUCCAUAGGCUAAGUUGGAAAAGUAUGACAUGGUGAGCAGUCUCAAAUAGUUUACAUUUUAACCACCACUUUUUUUUUCUCUAUAUAAAGGCACUAAAAUCAAGGACAUAAACCUCACUCAUAAUCAAACCAAAACCUCAUAAACCCUUCUCUAAAUUUCUCAUCAAACCAAACCCUAAAAUCAUUUUUCAUUCAAUGGCUUCAUUUCCUUUGGUAACAACUCUUUUAAUAUUUCCAUUUCUUUUCUCCACUAUUGUUUAUGGUUACUCAUUAAGUUCCAUAAAAUCAUGGUGUAGCC
Molecule: long non-coding RNA, 305 nt
Filed under: Medicago truncatula (barrel medic)
Lineage: Eukaryota; Viridiplantae; Streptophyta; Magnoliopsida; Fabales; Fabaceae
Description: long non-coding RNA (MTRU_LNC001560)
Source: RNAcentral